CUAAUACAUGCAAGUCGAGCGAGCGGAACCAACAGAUUUACUUCGGUAAUGACGUUGGGAAAGCGAGCGGCGGAUGGGUGAGUAACACGUGGGGAACCUGCCCCUAAGUCUGGGAUACCAUUUGGAAACAGGUGCUAAUACCGGAUAAUAAAGCAGAUCGCAUGAUCAGCUUUUGAAAGGCGGCGUAAGCUGUCGCUAAGGGAUGGCCCCGCGGUGCAUUAGCUAGUUGGUAAGGUAACGGCUUACCAAGGCGACGAUGCAUAGCCGAGUUGAGAGACUGAUCGGCCACAUUGGGACUGAGACACGGCCCAAACUCCUACGGGAGGCAGCAGUAGGGAAUCUUCCACAAUGGACGCAAGUCUGAUGGAGCAACGCCGCGUGAGUGAAGAAGGUUUUCGGAUCGUAAAGCUCUGUUGUUGGUGAAGAAGGAUAGAGGUAGUAACUGGCCUUUAUUUGACGGUAAUCAACCAGAAAGUCACGGCUAACUACGUGCCAGCAGCCGCGGUAAUACGUAGGUGGCAAGCGUUGUCCGGAUUUAUUGGGCGUAAAGCGAGCGCAGGCGGAAAAAUAAGUCUAAUGUGAAAGCCCUCGGCUUAACCGAGGAACUGCAUCGGAAACUGUUUUUCUUGAGUGCAGAAGAGGAGAGUGGACUCCAUGUGUAGCGGUGGAAUGCGUAGAUAUAUGGAAGAACACCAGUGGCGAAGGCGGCUCUCUGGUCUGCAACUGACGCUGAG
This 734-nucleotide ribosomal RNA is filed under the name uncultured Bacilli bacterium. RNAcentral describes it as "bacterial SSU rRNA". It matches the Rfam family "Bacterial small subunit ribosomal RNA", at positions 48 to 750 of the family's 1533-position model. Lineage: Bacteria; Bacillati; Bacillota; Bacilli. The record is from RNAcentral.